Pollicipes pollicipes is the source of this 272-nucleotide long non-coding RNA. RefSeq lists it as uncharacterized. NCBI's taxonomy places the organism in Eukaryota, Metazoa, Arthropoda, Thecostraca, Pollicipedomorpha, Pollicipedidae. The record is from RefSeq and is a predicted model, not a curated record. The transcript has 3 exons.
UACUGGGUGUGGGGGACAAGUCAUUUUCCGUUUACAUUGUUGUUUAUAAAGAUGUGAGGAAUGUCAAAGAACUUCGGCCUUUGCUUAUGAAUGGGAGCUUAAACGUGGCGUUGGUUUCGGCAAAAAAGAUAGUUUCUUCAUUUCAACUUCUGGUGGCAGCCAACAUAGCCCUGCACAACCAGGCAGAUGGCUCACUGAAAACAAGGAAUGUCAACUCAGAGAUAAUAUUCUCUCUGUCCCCAGGAAAACAGAUAUCUGAGGCGUUUCGGUCG